Molecule: ribosomal RNA, 231 nt
Filed under: Triticum aestivum (bread wheat)
Lineage: Eukaryota; Viridiplantae; Streptophyta; Magnoliopsida; Poales; Poaceae
Description: partial small subunit ribosomal RNA
Source: RNAcentral
AUGGUUCGCGGAUCGCUCGGGAAGUUGGCGUUGCGCGCCGUCUCGGUCGCCGCCAAAUGUCAGCACCAGCAGAUCCGUGGAUUUACCAUCCACGAGUACCAGGUCGCAGAAUUGAUGACCAAGUCGGGGAUCAACGUGCCCAGGGGCGUGGUGGUGGGGUCAGUGCAGGAGGUCAAGUAAGUUUUGAAGAACGUCUUCCCCUCUGAGAAAGAGGUGAUGCUACCUUACUAG